RNAcentral lists this long non-coding RNA (1009 nucleotides) under Elaeis guineensis (African oil palm). Its description in RNAcentral is "long non-coding RNA (EGUI_LNC029961)". Lineage: Eukaryota; Viridiplantae; Streptophyta; Magnoliopsida; Arecales; Arecaceae. The record is from RNAcentral.
AGGGGUCGAAGAAGAUUAGUGCUCUAUAAAUCCCCAUGGCAGUACUGGGAACAGGCGAAUACGAAGAGGCACGUCAGAGAUGGGUUGUUUGAUCCGGAGCUGCUUCUCGUUGCUGCUGGGAACCACACUCGGCAUCUACGUCGCCCAGAACUACGACGUCCCAAAACUUAAGAACCUCUUCAACAAGGCAGUGGUGACGGCCAAGCAGAAAGAAGAGCAAUACCGCAAGAAGGAAGAAGACUCCGAACAGGAGCGCCAGUCCGUUGUUGGAUGCUUUUGCUCAACUUAAUUCAUACCUCAAUAAGUAUAUUAUAAUUUGAUGUGCUAGCUUUUGGUUUCUCUGUUCUCUUCUUAAUGUUUCACUGAAUGUAAUUGUUGACUUGGUGGAUUAAUAGCUUAUGGAAUAGGUUAUCUAAUAGUCUUUGGAUUGGCAUGGAAGUAUUCUAUUUGAGUUCCUUGCAAGCUGUGAAUUCGGUCGAGCAUUAUGGCAUAGAAGAAUUCAUGCAAAUCUUUUUAGUCUAAAAAUAAAUGAAAUGUAAUUCUACUGAUAAGAAUGUUUUGGAAUCUCCAAGCAGGAUGGCCAAAGAACAAGGCAUUGUCAUGUUUUAUUGUGAAUAAUGGAUCCUUCAGUAACUGCUGGUGCUUGGACUAUUUGACAUGAGGAGUGUUGAUGGUGAAGAAUUCUCUCCAACAUUCAUCUAAAAUAUCAAUGUAAGAAAUUGAAAGUCGUCAGCAAGUUUACAAGGGAAAAAGGAGAGAGUGAAGCUGAUUGCAACCAUGAGGCUGGAUGAAAGGAUCCCAGAGGGAGAAAUGAUGUGUGUGAGUCCUCUGCUCUAAGAGAUUUUCAGGUAAAUCAACAACUAAUUGUGCAUUAUUUUUCUCGUUAUUCAUGUGCACUUGUAAUCAUCUAGUAAAUUGUCAUCCAUUCUUUUCUCAAUUUAUAUGUAAAGAGAGAAUUAAGUUGAGACAAAGGUGGAAUAUGUGAAACAAUAAUCUUUUCUUCUAUAUG